Molecule: non-coding RNA, 21 nt
Filed under: Caenorhabditis elegans
Lineage: Eukaryota; Metazoa; Nematoda; Chromadorea; Rhabditida; Rhabditidae
Source: RNAcentral
UCCAUUGUUUGACUAUAAAAA